GCAGUCGAGCGCCCCGCAAGGGGAGCGGCAGACGGGUGAGUAACGCGUGGGAAUCUACCUUUUGCUACGGAAUAACUCAGGGAAACUUGUGCUAAUACCGUAUGUGCCCUUCGGGGGAAAGAUUUAUCGGCAAAGGAUGAGCCCGCGUUGGAUUAGCUAGUUGGUGAGGUAAAGGCUCACCAAGGCGACGAUCCAUAGCUGGUCUGAGAGGAUGAUCAGCCACACUGGGACUGAGACACGGCCCAGACUCCUACGGGAGGCAGCAGUGGGGAAUAUUGGACAAUGGGCGCAAGCCUGAUCCAGCCAUGCCGCGUGAGUGAUGAAGGUCUUAGGAUUGUAAAGCUCUUUCACCGGUGAAGAUAAUGACGGUAACCGGAGAAGAAGCCCCGGCUAACUUCGUGCCAGCAGCCGCGGUAAUACGAAGGGGGCUAGCGUUGUUCGGAUUUACUGGGCGUAAAGCGCACGUAGGCGGACUUUUAAGUCAGGGGUGAAAUCCCGGGGCUCAACCCCGGAACUGCCUUUGAUACUGGAAGUCUUGAGUAUGGUAGAGGUGAGUGGAAUUCCGAGUGUAGAGGUGAAAUUCGUAGAUAUUCGGAGGAACACCAGUGGCGAAGGCGGCUCACUGGACCAUUACUGACGCUGAGGUGCGAAAGCGUGGGGAG
Molecule: ribosomal RNA, 662 nt
Filed under: Ochrobactrum sp. CEIZ-84
Lineage: Bacteria; Pseudomonadati; Pseudomonadota; Alphaproteobacteria; Hyphomicrobiales; Brucellaceae
Description: bacterial SSU rRNA
Rfam family: Bacterial small subunit ribosomal RNA
Source: RNAcentral